ACGGGAGGCAGCAGUGGGGAAUCUUGCGCAAUGGGCGAAAGCCUGACGCAGCAACGCCGCGUGGGGGAUGACGGCCUUCGGGUUGUAAACCUCUUUCGACAGGGACGAAGCUUUCGGGUGACGGUACCUGUAGAAGAAGCACCGGCUAACUACGUGCCAGCAGCCGCGGUAAUACGUAGGGUGCGAGCGUUGUCCGGAUUUAUUGGGCGUAAAGAGCUCGUAGGCGGUUUGUCACGUCGGCCGUGAAAACCUGCAGCUUAACUGUGGGCGUGCGGUCGAUACGGGCAGACUUGAGUUCGGCAGGGGAGACUGGAAUUCCUGGUGUAGCGGUGAAAUGCGCAGAUAUCAGGAGGAACACCGGUGGCGAAGGCGGGUCUCUGGGCCGAUACUGACGCUGAGGAGCGAAAGCAUGGGGAGCGAACAGGAUUAGAUACCCUGGUAGUCCAUGCCGUAAACGUUGGGCGCUAGGUGUGGGGAUGGGUUCCACCGUUUCCGUGCCGUAGCUAACGCAUUAAGCGCCCCGCCUGGGGAGUACGGCCGCAAGGCUAAAACUCAAAGGAAUUGAC
This 566-nucleotide ribosomal RNA is filed under the name uncultured bacterium. RNAcentral's name for it is "bacterial SSU rRNA". It matches the Rfam family "Bacterial small subunit ribosomal RNA", at positions 341 to 914 of the family's 1533-position model. The record is from RNAcentral.